Long non-coding RNA from Crotalus tigris (Tiger rattlesnake), 2044 nucleotides. RefSeq lists it as uncharacterized. NCBI's taxonomy places the organism in Eukaryota, Metazoa, Chordata, Lepidosauria, Squamata, Viperidae. The record is from RefSeq and is a predicted model, not a curated record. The transcript is spliced from 2 exons.
GAAAAGGCUUGGGAGGCCGGUUUGCCUUCGACAGAACUGCUCAGAACCAGGCUCUCCCCCUCCCGAUCUCAUUCCUUCCAAGUCCAUUGGAGUUGGGAGAGGAAGGAUUUCAUUUCCAUUUCCCAGGUGAAAUUGAAGUCACAUUCGCCUGCACACAGACCGACAAUCUCACAUAGGAGGGCCACACCAGUUCUGCCAGAGAUAAGCCAUACAAGUAACAGACAGCCUCACAAUAGCCUGGUCAUAAAUGCUGGAGCAUAAAGGUUCUCAUGGAUCCCCAGAAAUUCAUCACUGCACCGCUGAUGAACAGUCAAUAAAUUAUGAACAGAAACUGUUCCACCCCCAGCUCUCACUCUUCUUGCAACUUACGUCUACAAAACACACCCUCAAUCCAUGUCUUGGAAGAAACAAGUCAGAAUGUGGGAUUUUGUAGAGAUGCUUAAAUAUAUAGAGAGGAGGAAAAAAAGUUCAAGAUAAAAUACACAGAAAUGCUUAAUUCCUUUAUUUGAAAAUGUUGCGGUAGCACUGCAUUACAUAUAUUCAAUAUCCACAGUUUUUGAAGGAUCAUAGAAUUUUGGUAGUACAACACUGUUUGGAAUAUAUAACACAUUUCUGACAACUAUAAUGGAUAAAUUGCAGGUAAUAAGACUGGGAUAGUUUGGGUAUUAAAAAUCUUUUGCUUGAAAUGUGCAAAUGCUCCAUCUUUUAGUAAAACCAUCUUUCGGUCAAGUGUUUCAAUGUGUUAGGUAAUAGCAGCUCAUUGUUACAGUUGUGAUCUGUCAGUAGCCUGAAUGGUCAGAAUACCUAUUGGAAAGAAAUGCAAAAAGCUACUGUCCCAGGUCUUAGCAUAUAUCGUAAGGCUGAAAAUCAAGGCUAUUACUUCUGUGCUGGAAUUAAGUUUGUACAGUACACGUGAUAGAUGCAAUUUACUUUGCUUUUUAUUUACAUGCUGCAGCAAGCUUUAGUUACCAGUGUAUUUUCCAUUGCAACUGUGUACUCUAAAACAGAUGUCUGUUUGCCCAAUGUGGUUAUGCACACAAAGUUUUGUAAACACCACUGUAUCAGAUAGUAACUUAUAUGAUAAACUUAAGAUUCAACUGCUAAAUUCUCUUUAAUUUCUGCAAAUAAAGUACAAUUAAUUUCCGCAAUCUAACCCGUCCAUAUAAAGUGAAAGAAUGAAAAAAAAACACAAUUUCAUCAACCUUAUACUGAUUCUAAUUUAUUUAGGUCUAUUCCUGAUUAUUCCCAUGUGAGCUGAAAAUAAUGUUGUAAAUAGAACAUUGCUGAAAAGCAUCAAGCUUUAAUAACAAGCUCACAGCCUAGAUGGAUUUUGCACAGAUGCUUAGUGAAAGUACUAAAGUAUCACAGACAAAGAGUAGGAUCAACACUUGCACAGAAGUACACUUUUAAAAAAAUCCCUACUCACAUGUCAACUUUGAGUUUUUUUAAAAGAAAUGUCAAGGACCCCAAAUCUUCUGAUACAAACUUUAGGAAUAGAGUUUACAAUAGAGAGAAGCAAAAAACAGAAAAACAUUUUGAAUUAAUUGUAGCCCAAUUCUUACCAAAUGAAUGAAUAUUCUCAGCUAAACGUUUGGUUAUCUGUAAAUGUGGUCCAAAUAGCUUUUUUUAAUGGGAAAGAAAUAUAAUUAUUUUGCUUUAAAAACAAAAAUUAACACCUGGUUGAAAAUAUUCAGGUAACCCAAUUUUUUAUUUCAAAAUUUAAGUAAGGGUUACAUGGUGCUAAUUGUUUUUCUAGCAAAGGUUUUAAGUAAUUUGCAAGGAAUUACUUAAAAGGCCACUUUCUGUUUCAAACUACAUGACUUCAUUAUCCAAAGAUAUUUCUAUCUUGACAACCAAUUGAAAACAAGAUAUAUCUCUCUCCCUCCCUCCCUCCCUCCCUCCCUCAACAUAUCCUCCAAUUGAAAGAACAAAAGGCACUAGCUAUAUACCUGUUUGAAAUAAUCCAGAAUGUGUUCUGUCAAAAAACAAGAUCCCAAAACUAACUGCAACCAAUGACUAAGAUGUUUUUACAAAAUUAAAAAAA